This 506-nucleotide ribosomal RNA is filed under the name uncultured bacterium. RNAcentral's name for it is "bacterial SSU rRNA". It matches the Rfam family "Bacterial small subunit ribosomal RNA", at positions 29 to 508 of the family's 1533-position model. The record is from RNAcentral.
AGCGAACGUUAGCGGCGGGCCUAACACAUGCAAGUCGAACGAGAAUAGGGGAGCAAUCCCCUUAGUAAAGUGGCGGACGGGUGCGUAACACGUGGGUAAUCUACCUUCCGGCGGGGGACAACAGUCCGAAAGGAUUGCUAAUACCGCAUACGUCAGCGAGGUCUACGGACCACGUUGGGAAAGAUGGCCUCUCCUUGGAAGCUGUCACCGGAAGAUGAGCCCGCGUCCCAUCAGCUAGUUGGCGAGGUAAUGGCUCACCAAGGCUUAGACGGGUAGCUGGUCUGAGAGGAUGAUCAGCCACACUGGGACUGCGACACGGCCCAGACUCCUACGGGAGGCAGCAGUGGGGAAUAUUGGGCAAUGGGCGAAAGCCUGACCCAGCCACGCCGCGUGAGUGAUGAAGGCCUUCGGGUCGUAAAGCUCUGUGGGGAGGGACGAAUAAGUGCCGUACUAACACUACGGCGCCCUGACGGUACCUCCUUAGCAAGCACCGGCUAACCAUGUGC